GAUGAAGAACGUAGCGAAAUGCGAUAAGUAAUGUGAAUUGCAGAAUUCAGUGAAUCAUCGAAUCUUUGAACGCACAUUGCGCCCGCCAGUAUUCUGGCGGGCAUGUCUGUUCGAGCGUCAUUACAACCCUCAAGCCCCCCGGCUUGGUGUUGGGGACCGGCCACCGGUGCCCUGCUGCUUCCGCGGCAGGCGCGCCCGGCCGCCCCCGAAAUGAAUUGGCGGCCCCGUCGCGGCCUCCCUCUGCGUAGUAGCACACAUCUCGCAGCUGGAGCGCGGCGCGGCCACUGCCGUAAAACGCACCAACUUUUUUUUACAGUUGACCUCGAAUCAGGUAGGAAUACCCGCUGAACUUAAGCAUAUCAAUAAGCGGAGGA
RNAcentral lists this unclassified non-coding RNA (374 nucleotides) under soil metagenome. Its description in RNAcentral is "partial contains 5.8S ribosomal RNA, internal transcribed spacer 2, and large subunit ribosomal RNA". The stretch from base 1 to 120 matches the Rfam family "5.8S ribosomal RNA", at positions 35 to 154 of the family's 154-position model. The record is from RNAcentral.